GCCACCGAAGAACAGAGCAAGCAUCUUCUAAGCGCUUGGCCGCAGGUUCGAGUCCUGCCGGGGGCG
Molecule: transfer RNA, 66 nt
Filed under: Streptomyces sp. NRRL WC-3618
Lineage: Bacteria; Bacillati; Actinomycetota; Actinomycetes; Kitasatosporales; Streptomycetaceae
Rfam family: tRNA
About the family: Transfer RNA (tRNA) molecules are approximately 80 nucleotides in length. Their secondary structure includes four short double-helical elements and three loops (D, anti-codon, and T loops).
Source: Rfam by way of RNAcentral